This is a long non-coding RNA of Triticum dicoccoides, 1365 nucleotides long. RefSeq lists it as uncharacterized. NCBI's taxonomy places the organism in Eukaryota, Viridiplantae, Streptophyta, Magnoliopsida, Poales, Poaceae. The transcript is spliced from 3 exons. The record is from RefSeq and is a predicted model, not a curated record.
UUCUCAAAAAAUAUAUUCCCGAUCGAGGCGCAACGGAGCGAUCGCAUCGAUUCCAUCCACUCCGGAUUCGAGGCGCAGAGAGGAGCCGAUUGAUCCAGUCCGGAUUCGAGCACCGCUACGGCCGAGGUGAGGGAUGGAUCGAGUCCAUCCGUGCGCUGGGAUCAAGCGAAGGAUUCGGAUGCAACCGAUGCGCUCGAGCGUCGACGGUGUCGAGCGGAGGCAGGUGAUUCGGGUCCAGCCGAGGCGCCCUAGCGCGCAAUGGGAUCGAGUGCAGAACCGCCGGCGGCGCAAGGAUUAAGGCCGAUGGUCUUCAUCGAGUAACAGUUCAUCGAGGUGGCGAUGCCGAUAGAGAGAGCCUUAGUUAUGGUGUAGGCGGGCGAUUAGUACAAGGAGGCGGUGCAAACGGCUCAAGGAUACAAAGGUGGAUGUGCAGGAUGAAGCGACGGUGUCUCGCUGGUGCGAGAGGAGGAGGCGGGGGGUGACCACUACACUAGCAACCUCGUCGGCGCAAGAGUAACAGUACACAUCGAAAAGCGCCUAGGUAGGACGGUAAUGUCGAGGAUGCAAGGAGGAAGAGGAUAUGUGUGCCGCUCUUUCUUACCAUGAUUGUAUUCUUGGUUCAUUUACAUAUAUGUAUGUGCUCGUAUUUCCCAAAUGAUGACUACAAUUCUUGCAUUUUUUUUGUCAGAUGAUGGUUUGUGUUUGGCUCUCGAGUCUCGUAUCUGUAGUUUCAGUGUAGCAGUUCAUAUUGGUAUCAGCUUUAGCCAUUACGACUGUAGUUUGCAUUAGUGCUUAGCAAUGCUUCAAAUAUCCGACGCCCUCCCCAUGCUGCCUUGCUUCAUUUCUUGCAACCGAGCGGUAUCUGUGGCGGUCGAGCUCCAUCCCAGUGUAGCGCUCUCGCGCUUCCACUCCGCCCGACAGCAAUGUAGGAAUAAUUGGUGAGCAUGAAGAUCCUUCGUUGCUACAUCUGUUCCUACCCCAGCUGUCCAUCGAUUUGGAAGCUACGUGAUGGCUGUUCAACAACCUGGCAAUCAGGCAGUAUCGCCACCGCCCGGCGCCAAUGCACCACGCAAAUUAUUCCUCCCACCUCCUCCAGGCCCAACCUGUUGUCUCACUCGUGCACCGGCUCCUGAUCCGUUCAUUGCCCAGGGCUACGGCUCCCUCUAGGGAACGCUGUUUUACUGGACAAAGUCCAUGAAGGAAAUUGUCUGCGGAUGUGCUGUCAGUACUUGUUGUCAUUUGAAUUCUGUAUGGUGUGCUGCUGUUUUGUAAUUUUGGUAAUGGCUAAAAGUUCCAAUUCUGCAUUACGUGUGUUAUGCAGGGGAAGGCCAGCAAGGUUGACAGUACUCGGGCAUGCUGGUGUGA